AUUGAACGCUGGCGGCAGGCCUAACACAUGCAAGUCGAGCGGAUGAGGGAGGCUUGCUUCCUGAUUUAGCGGCGGACGGGUGAGUAAUGCCUAGGAAUCUGCCUAUUUGUGGGGGAUAACGUUCCGAAAGGAACGCUAAUACCGCAUACGUCCUACGGGAGAAAGUGGGGGAUCUUCGGACCUCACGCUAAUAGAUGAGCCUAGGUCGGAUUAGCUAGUUGGUGGGGUAAUAGCCCACCAAGGCGACGAUCCGUAACUGGUCUGAGAGGAUGAUCAGUCACACUGGAACUGAGACACGGUCCAGACUCCUACGGGGGGCAGCAGUGGGGAAUAUUGGACAAUGGGCGAAAGCCUGAUCCAGCCAUGCCGCGUGUGUGAAGAAGGUCUUCGGAUUGUAAAGCACUUUAAGUCGGGAGGAAGGGCUGUAGGCUAAUACCUUGCAGUUUUGACGUUACCGACAGAAUAAGCACCGGCUAACUUCGUGCCAGCCGCCGCGGUAA
RNAcentral lists this ribosomal RNA (500 nucleotides) under uncultured bacterium. RNAcentral describes it as "partial 16S ribosomal RNA". It matches the Rfam family "Bacterial small subunit ribosomal RNA", at positions 30 to 523 of the family's 1533-position model. The record is from RNAcentral.